AUGACCAAGUGGGAUCCCACCUACCCACGCUCCAAGCAGCGGUCAACCCCGCCCUGCCGCAGCCUCGCGCUGCGCCGCAAGCGCUCGUCCCGCCGCAUCGCGUCGGGGCUCUCCGCCAGAGACUCCAGCGCGUCCGGGGCAGAUCUGGAGCUGGCGGUGCCCAAGCGGCGGCGCAGCAUCGGCGGGUCCACGAACUAGAGGGCCGGGCUGCUGCUGCCGACCACCACCACAGCCUCCUCCUCCUCCGCGUGGAAGGGCAAUGGCGGCCACGCGCGUGCGAAGCGGGGCGAGCGGCUCGACAAGGCCGGCGUCGCGCACUUCCUCGUCGCGCUGGAGCAGGUAAGCUAA
RNAcentral lists this ribosomal RNA (348 nucleotides) under Triticum aestivum (bread wheat). Its description in RNAcentral is "partial small subunit ribosomal RNA". Lineage: Eukaryota; Viridiplantae; Streptophyta; Magnoliopsida; Poales; Poaceae. The record is from RNAcentral.